RNAcentral lists this long non-coding RNA (2794 nucleotides) under Mus spretus (western wild mouse). RNAcentral describes it as "lncRNA (ENSMSPG00010028444.1)". The record is from RNAcentral. Lineage: Eukaryota; Metazoa; Chordata; Mammalia; Rodentia; Muridae.
AUAUUCCAGAAACCCGAUGCUGGCUCCCUCAUUUUCCAUAGACCUCAUCUUCAGUCCCUAAAGAAGAAAACGGUGACAAGAAAUCGGAAGUCCAAUGCAGUCUGUACUCUUCAUGGAUGAACUUCUCAUGUUAAGUGCAAGUAUUUAUAUGGUACAUGUCUGACAAAGGAAGCCUUCCUACAAUCAUUACUGAUUGGACAGCUCCUAUAGACAGCAUCAGUUUAUAAGUGUUUCCUUUCUGAUACACGUUACAGAAUACUGUAAAGAAAUUAUGAAAAUUAUAUUGAACAAAUCAAGAAGUGGUUCAAGUUUUUGAAAACCUCAAUUUAAAGUUUACAUAUUUUCAAAGUUGAAUAAUUUUACACUGGGGUGGGAACUGAAGUAUAAAUAAACAUUUGCUUAAAGGUACUGAGUUGUGAUAAUUUUUCAUGGAAUAAGACUGUCAGGCAGUAGCAGUUAAAUUAAUAUAUACUGUACUUAAAAAAUUAAACACUUGAGAAAUAACCUUUUUAGCCACUGGAAAAUGGCAAAGUCUAAGACAUUUCAAUCAAGUUAAUUUGGGUAUUAGAGAAAUGCAUUUUCCCACCAGAAACUAUGUGAAGAAACAAAUUAAACAAAAUGGCCCUCCGGAUGCUGGGGUAGCCCUGGGCGAGGAGCGGCACCAUUGCUUGUCAAUUAGGUUAUUAUACACACACAUUCCCUCAUUUUAAAUCACGCCAAAGCUGAACGGUUGAUGGUAUAUCAAAAUGAAGCAUGACUUGCAAUUUAAAUGGUUUUUUUGUUUCUUUGUUUUAACUUUCUUUUUACUCCUGGACAAAGGGUCCUGCUGGGUUUCUCAGGUUGGGCUGUCUAAUUUCUUAGCUCCAAAGAGCCUCCUGCCUCAGUCCCCUGCACAACAGCUGAGACUACAGGCUUGAACCACUGUAGUAGGCUCAGAGUUUCUCUUUAACAAGCACUAACCUGGAGCAACUAGUCUAAUUCAGCUAUGUGUUCUAGGAUCUUUCCCUAGCUCACCCUGGCAUGCUAAAGUUCCUAGAACAAAAGUUCCUGAGCAGUCUUGGAAGUAGAAGAAGAGGCCAGGAGAACACUUUAACCAGCUCUGAAGUUACCUCAAAGACACCAGCAUGGAGACAGAUCAGUUUUUCUGGCCACACUAGCUGCAGGGCUCAGUCCCAGACUUCCCAAGGCAGGACAGUGGCAAUUUGGACAGGUUACUUAACUCCCUCACCCCACCCCAACUUCCGUUUCUUUUACUUGUCAAGGUCUAGCCUUGGACUGGGUCCCCAACAAAUAUGCAACAGACCCUGAGAGCUGCUCACUAGCCCCACUACACUGCAGAAGGCAGGGAAGGCAGGCAGGCUGUGUCCUUUUGCUUUUGUUUUCAACAACACCUUGAGACUAAGAAACAACAGAGGUAACUUUAGGAUUCCCUUAGGAGCUGAGUGUUUUUGUUAAAUUAUUUAUUUUAUUUAUAUGAGUACACUGUCACUGACACAUCAGAAAAGGGCAUCAAAUACCAUUACAGAUGGUUGAGAUGAUGUGGCUGCUGGGAAUUGAACUCAGGGCCUCUGGAAGAGCAGUCAGUGCUCUCAACCACUGAGCCCUCUCUCCAGCAUGGAGCUGAGUUUUUUAAGGGCUAGGUUAAAGCCCUUCAUCUAAAACCACCGAAUGUAGGCAGGCACAGGAGACCCCGGUGACUUCAGUUUGGGCACAUAAAAUUUUCUACUAAAGAGAAAAUUCCUCUGACACCAGAGGGGGCAACUUUUUAAAAUAAGCAAUGUUAUAUAGAUCAGUAAUAUUUGAUUAGAUACUUCCUUAUAGUUGACCAGGCUCCAACAAGAAAGAUGAGUAGCAAAUCAGAAACACCACCAAAUGGGAAGUAGAUCUAACAUCCUGUUGCCUCUUGGUACAUUCUAUUGCCUGUUCAAAAUGGAGUCUUAUAAAGUCAGAUUACCUUGAAAUUCUUUCAUUGAAAUGUUGGAAUUUAUAAUCAUGAGCCACCAAAUCUAACUUAGUAUCUUUUUCUCCUACAUGCUCAGUGGGCAAGAGCUUGUUGCUCUUGCAGAUGACCAGCACCCACAUGGUGGCUCACAACUGUCUGUAACUCCAAUUACUGGGGAUCUGACGCUCUCUUCUGGACUGCACAGGCACUGCAGUCAUAUAACAUACAUCCAUGCACUCAGGGCUGGGACUGCAGGCAAGUGCCAUGUGUCGCCUUGACCAGGACAUGGGAUGCUGGGGCUCAAAACCAAGAAUUCCUGCACAGGGGGCUGAAGGCUGAGGCGGAAGGACGGUGAGCUCUAGGCCAGCCUGGACUACACAGUGAAGCCCAGCUUAAAAAAGAAAAAAACGGCCAGUGUCUUGGAGAAAACUGAGUUUCCAGCAGCUGGUACUCAUGUCCUUGUGACUCAUACAGCUUGGGCUCAUGAGCUCUACUCAGCUGACCUGUCGUAAUCGUCUGGGUAUAAAUUGUCUGAUGUUCUGAAUACGGCCAUGGCACCAAGGAACCCUGCCUGAAAACUUCAGCUCAGACUUCAGACAACUGUGCUACAGCACGUACCAAUUUUACUGCACAUCUGACACAUUCUGUUCUUAUAGAAACAUAAUUGUUUAAUUAGAGAAAAUAAACGUUUUAAUAUUUUCCUACUAUCAUUCUUUAAUAUACAAGUACAAAUUAAUCUGUGUUUAAACUGUAUCAUGUUAGAACAUUUAUUUUUAAGUGAAUAUUUUCAAAUAAUAAAUAUUUUCAUUUUAAAAGGAAAAUUUUAAAAAUUAAAGGUGCUGAAUUGAACUG